UAUCGUCAAUUAACCCUUUGUCCACACCAAAGCUAAUUAGAAGCUGUGAAGGUCAAAGUCUCUCGCACUUCAUUGUACCCUUUAGCCAUGAAGCGUCUCACUUGACAGCCACAGCGACAGAAAUCCAGGACAUCUGACAAAGCGACUGAAAGAGACACCCAGACUGAUGCAUGCCCCAACAAGGAAAAUUGUCCAUCAGAUCUUCCUUCUUCUGGGCGUAGGGACACGCAUGCAUCAAAAAGGAGCCAGAGUUUCUCCUCCCUUGGUUGGACUGAAGCAGGAAGUUUAUUGAUGUCAGGGUUGAUUUCACCGCAUUUCUGCCCAAUUUGGCAUGCCCAAUUCCCGAGAGCGAGAACCACAUUGAGGCGACCACGAGGAGGUUAACCCAACAUGACUCUACCCACACUAGCAACCAUUCCAAUUGAUUGCUUAGGAGACCUGACUGGAGUCAAUCAGCAUGCCCUGGAUUCGAAC
Xyrauchen texanus (razorback sucker) is the source of this 474-nucleotide long non-coding RNA. RefSeq lists it as uncharacterized. The record is from RefSeq and is a predicted model, not a curated record. The transcript is spliced from 3 exons. NCBI's taxonomy places the organism in Eukaryota, Metazoa, Chordata, Actinopteri, Cypriniformes, Catostomidae.